AAUUAUCUUCAUUUACGCAAGCAAGCAACCUGGACUGUUUGAAAAUAAGAAGAGCAUCAUUUUGACCUGAAGCUAUGAAUUUGUUACUUCAUUUACUUUUCCAAGGUGUUCUGCUGUAUGAGACGUUUGCAUGGCAAGUGACAAUGCCAGAGGAAAUUCAUGGCCUCGAAGGUUCCUGUCUGGUUGUACCGUGCUCUUUCUACUACACAUCCUACCCACCCAGUAACCCAAAUAGAGUUGUAUGGUAUAAGUGGCACUCUAUUAACUACCCUUUGGUUUAUGAUUCCUGGUAUCCAAAUAAUGUCGAUGGCAAGUUUCAAGGAAAAACUGAUUUAUACGGCAACCCGUCAAAAUGGAGUUGUAGUCUGCUGAUCAAAACCCUGGAUCUGUCCCACCAUGGAGAGAAAAUAUAUGCAUGGAUUGACCCAGAAAAUGUUGGAAAGAGCACCUAUAGGUUCUUCGACGUGACCUCCAUGAUUCGUGUUGACUGUAUGUAAAUAAUCUUUUGUUUCUUUAACUUACUGUAAUAUUCAUAAACUUGAAGGUUCAUGAGCUUGAUAGUGGUACAACAGCAUCUUAUUAUGAGCAACUGGGCCACACUUUAUACUACUGUAUAAUGAAUAUGUUGGAAAAAAGCAUGGAUUUAAUAAAAGGUAUAAAGGAAGAACAGUCAAUGUAAAUAAUAUAAUUUCUAAC
Molecule: non-coding RNA, 696 nt
Organism: Misgurnus anguillicaudatus (oriental weatherfish)
Lineage: Eukaryota; Metazoa; Chordata; Actinopteri; Cypriniformes; Cobitidae
Source: RefSeq, a predicted model, not a curated record